This 449-nucleotide ribosomal RNA is filed under the name uncultured prokaryote. RNAcentral's name for it is "bacterial SSU rRNA". It matches the Rfam family "Bacterial small subunit ribosomal RNA", at positions 355 to 796 of the family's 1533-position model. The record is from RNAcentral.
UGGGGAAUAUUGGACAAUGGGGGCAACCCUGAUCCAGUAAUGCCGCGUGUGUGAAGAAGGCCUGCGGGUUGUAAAGCACUUUCAGUAGGGAAGAAAAGCACGGGGCUAAUACCGCCGUGUCUUGACGUCACCUACAGAAGAAGCACCGGCUAACUCCGUGCCAGCAGCCGCGGUAAUACGGAGGGUGCGAGCGUUAAUCGGAAUUACUGGGCGUAAAGCGCGCGUAGGCGGCGAGGUCAGUCGGAUGUGAAAGCGCCCGGCUUAACCUGGGAACUGCAUUCGAUACUGCCUGGCUAGAGUAUGGGAGAGGGACGCGGAAUUUCCUGUGUAGCGGUGAAAUGCGUAGAUAUCGGAAGGAACACCAGUGGCGAAGGCGGCUUCCUGGCCCAAUACUGACGCUGAAGUGCGAAAGCGUGGGUAGCGAACAGGAUUAGAUACCCCUGUAGUCC